Molecule: non-coding RNA, 105 nt
Filed under: Nitrospirota bacterium
Lineage: Bacteria; Pseudomonadati; Nitrospirota
Description: Nitrospirae bacterium TPP sequence
Rfam family: TPP riboswitch aptamer (THI element)
About the family: Vitamin B(1) in its active form thiamin pyrophosphate (TPP) is an essential coenzyme that is synthesised by coupling of pyrimidine and thiazole moieties in bacteria. The previously detected thiamin-regulatory element, thi box was extended, resulting in a new, highly conserved RNA secondary structure, the THI element, which is widely distributed in eubacteria and also occurs in some archaea. Analysis of operon structures identified a large number of new candidate thiamin-regulated genes, mostly transporters, in various prokaryotic organisms.
Source: RNAcentral
AUCAACCCCUGGGGGAGGCGAGAGCCUGAGAGUCCCGAUUUUAUCGGGAGACCCCAUGAACCUGAUACGGAUAAUGCCGGCGUAGGGAUGGGAAGGCAGGCCGUA